Long non-coding RNA from Passer domesticus (house sparrow), 2225 nucleotides. RefSeq lists it as uncharacterized. The record is from RefSeq and is a predicted model, not a curated record. NCBI's taxonomy places the organism in Eukaryota, Metazoa, Chordata, Aves, Passeriformes, Passeridae. The transcript is spliced from 3 exons.
GUUUGCUGUCUCUGCUUAUGGAUCUCCUUUUGGAAGCUCUGGAGCUGUUGUCAAAGGAGAAAGCUGGAAACUUGAAAACUGCUGGGCCCAACUGUUUAAUGGCUUUUACAGAAAAAGCCAUGGAAGCAUUAUGGGAAACAGCAUCAAAUCCCAUCCACCAGAUCUGAAUAUGAUACAGAGGAAAAGUGAAACUGGAUAUAUGCUCCAUUUGGGUAACAUUUCUUCACUUCUUAAAAGGACAAAUGCCAUCUGAGCUUAUAUAGAGCAUUCAAUUCAAGGAAGCAGCAGCUUUUAACAAAGGAAGGAUGUUGAACAUCUGAAAGUAGGGAGUGCGGAGUUCACUGCAGGUCACCAUUAAGGACAAGAACAAGGUAAUGUAAGAGGCUGUGUGAUUCCAGGUUGACAGGAGGAUUUUAAAAGAUCAAAAGUGUUUUUUAUAUAUGUUUUAGAGGACCAGAAGUGCUUUCAGUCAACAGAUGAAAAUGCUAAUGUUUAGAAAUGAUGAAAGCAAGACAAAUGUGGUGGUGAAUUCCAACUGAGUCAUCAAAACAACAAGUAUUCUUAGUCUGUGGUUUUUAAAAGAUUAUUGCAAAUUGUCCAUCAGUGCAGGUGUGGUAAAAAUGGCUAUUCUGCUGCUAUAUGAACAGCUCACUGCAUUUGUUAUUUUGGGAUGGCAGAGUUGACAGUGAGUUGUGACUUGCAGUAUUUCUCCUUUUAGAGCUAGAUGUAUUUGAAUAAGUCUGUUAAUUAUUUAAGCUUUACGUUGUGCUCUCUUCCUGUCAGCAACAGCAAUAGAAAUGUUUUUACUGUAUAAUUAAGGAGCUGGAGAGAAAAGAAAGAAACAUUUAAUAGCUGUUUCUGAUAGAACCUUCAUCAGUUUAGUGUGAAAAAGAAAAAUGAUGGAGUAAUAUUGCCACCAGCAAUCCCUCAGUCAGGUGACUUUUUUGCUGGAUCAAUUCUGGUUGCUAAGCAACAAGCAAAAAGGCACAGUUAUGUUUUGGUAAAUCUUUUAUUUUUGAAUAUUUUGUGCUGGAGUUUCAGACACUGUAUCUGUCACUAAUGCUCUUGAUUCAAGACUCAGGGUAUCUUCUGAGCCAUAAAAGCCCAUCUUUUCUUAUUUAAAAGGGAUUAUGUUAUUUAGUUUCCAGAAAAACUUUUGCAGCUAAUACAUACUUGAAAAUGCAAAACUGAGCCAGUGAUUAGAGAAUUUGUUAAAGAAAAACCACAGAAAAAUCAUUACAACAACUUUGACAUUUUUGGUUAAUGAUAUCUACAUUAAUGAGUUAAUUGCCAAUGCAUCACAUUUUAUGCCACUAUCAAAUAUUAAUGUUAUCAAUGUUAUAAUAAUAGCAUCUAUUGAUAUAAUUGAAGCUUGCUUUCCAAUAGGUGUCACCAUGAAUAAUACCAUUGCAGUAUUAAAAUCAAUAAUAAGAAUAUUAGGAGGGCAUUAUAAAAUGUCAAUACAAUGAAAACCACUUAAAUGAAUGCUUGAUAUAAAACAAACUGACUAAAUAUACUAAGCUAUAAUUUAAAAGAAUAAAUUCACAACUCUGUGUAUAACAGUUUGGACACUGUAACUCUACCAUUCUUAAAAACAUCAUACUGAAAGUAAUAAACAAAAUACUUAUGAAGGGAAGAAAUCAUCAUGCAUUCAGUGAGAAAAUAUUCAAAGAGUAUAUGUUGGAGGAAAGUAUAAAUAUUGUAGGUGGUUUGGUGUUACGUUUGAGAUAAAACCUUAGUGUUGCAAGUGUCCAAGAUCUGCUAGCAAAUAUCAGUGCCUGUCUUCCUCUGAGGUCAGUUCUAGGCAGACGCUGCUGAUGCCUGGCAGGAUACGUGCACUGUGUAUAAAAAAAUCAACUGCCCAGCCCUGGAAGAGGACUGGGAAGACAAAAUUCCAAUUUUCCAACAUGAAACAUCUUGUCAGUCUGUGGCCAUUGCUUUUCCAUUUCAGUGGUGGUGAAUUGGCACAAAGCUGAGGGUCUGAGGGUAAUUCUCUGUUCCUUUCAGCACCUGACAAUGAGGCAAAAAUAAAGAAAGGUCACAAGCAAGCUUUGAAAAUGUAGCACCUGAAUAUAGCCAGUUCUGUUUGUGUGAAAUAGCAAGCAGAGCAAAUAUUUUGGGGGGAAAUAGGCACAGCUAAAGUACUUAAUUUCCAUUCAGUGGACUGGGUGAAACUCCCUCAGUCUGGAUUGGUUUGGGCAUUCACCCUGGCACCCACAGGAGCG